Non-coding RNA from Pelobates cultripes (western spadefoot toad), 1355 nucleotides. The record is from the annotation of a GenBank genome assembly. Lineage: Eukaryota; Metazoa; Chordata; Amphibia; Anura; Pelobatidae.
UGGCAACUUAUUCAAAUUUGUAUAUCAUCCCCUUCUAAGCACAUUUAUGGAUUUGAUCCUUUUUUCCACCAUCUUACAUUUCCAAGCAGGCCCAGGACGUAACUGUAUGAGGUUUAGGUUGCUUGCCUGUCAACUCUAUUUUUUGUUUGAUCAUAUCCCAAUUUAGAAUGAAAAAUGCUUUUAUUUCUUGUUGUAUACCUGGCACAUAUAUAAAAUUCCUACAUCUGUGGAUUUGUUGCAGUUAAUCAGUUUCAUAGAUAUGUUACACUCCUCAUCCAUGACCUAAUACAGAGGACUUCCACGGUUCCAUCAAAUGGAUUAAAGGGAUACUCUUAAUGAAGUGGUUUGGGUGCAAAAUUCCUCUCCUUUUAACAGUGUAGCGUAAAAUAUCACUGUUCUGCACUGCAUGGUUUAAAUGCCUCUAGUGGCUAUCACACUGACAGCCGCCAGAGGUACUUCCACAGAAAUAGCCCAGUAUAACAUGGCUAUUUUAUUUAGAUGGUCUCUGACGCCAGUCGCAUGAAUAUUGUGUGUGUCGACAUGAUGCAUCCAAUAUCUGCAGAUCUUAUAUUAGCCAGCCUGGAACUCUAGUUCUGAACUAGUAUGUAGCCCCCGCCUCCCCCAUAUGAUGUUGCAGGAGGUGGAGCUACACCUCCAGCAGCAAAGGAGUUAAUCUCAUGUACAGAGUUUGAUAAUGAAACACUGCACAUACAGACUCCAGGAACCAUGAGCAUUUCAAAUCACUGAAGUAGUCAUGGUGCUUGAAGUAAACCUUUAAUUAUAAACAUGUUACUAAUGCAGAGUGCUGAAACAUUGCUACAGAGAUUACUCACAGAGAACUCAUAAAAUUUCCGAUCAAAUAAUGCAUCUUCUCUAAAGCAUCACUUGCUUGACAAACUGUGCUGCACAGAGUCCUGUAACGCAUAAACAAGGCUCCAGCCCCCAAAUAUACACUCUUCCUCAAACUAUGACCAGCAUCUACCUAUGCUCCUCCAACUAGAACCAGAAGUCUCAACCCAUGUUCUGCUACUACAACAAGCACUAGCCUCAACCCAUGUUCCAUCCAUGCUCUGUCCUCAGACCAGCACCAGCCUCCACCCAUGCUCUGUCCUCAGACCAGCACCAGCCUCCACCCAUGCUCUGUCCUCAGACCAGCACAAGCCUCCACCCAUGCUCUGUCCUCAGACCAGCACAAGCCUCCACCCAUGCACUGUCCUCAGACCAGCCUCCACCCAUGCUCUGUCCUCUAACCAGCACCAGCCUCCACGCAUGCUCUGUCCUCAGACCAGCCUCCACCCACCCACGCUCUGUCCUCAGACCAGCCUCCAUCCACCUAUGCACUGUCCUCUAACCAG